AAAACUAUACUUCCAGCAAUCCUUUCUAUAAAUUAUGACUUGAGAAAUGUGUUUUUAAAGUGUAUGGUCUUGCUGACCACGAUGAAGAGUUGGUGAUACUCCUUCUUGAACGUGAAGAAAGUAGAGACUUGGUUCAUCCAUGUUCUCUGCUACUGAUGACUGUUCACUGUUUCUUUUUGAGACGGUGAGGGAAGGAGUAUGAUCUCAGUGGG
This is a small nucleolar RNA of Neogobius melanostomus (round goby), 212 nucleotides long. Its record names the gene U3. It matches the Rfam family "Small nucleolar RNA U3". From Rfam's summary of the family: Small nucleolar RNAs (snoRNAs) are involved in the processing and modification of rRNA in the nucleolus. NCBI's taxonomy places the organism in Eukaryota, Metazoa, Chordata, Actinopteri, Gobiiformes, Gobiidae. The record is from Ensembl.